This 75-nucleotide transfer RNA is filed under the name Melampsora pinitorqua Mpini7. RNAcentral describes it as "tRNA-Val (GAC) (tRNA-Val-GAC-2-1)". It matches the Rfam family "tRNA". Rfam says of the family: Transfer RNA (tRNA) molecules are approximately 80 nucleotides in length. Their secondary structure includes four short double-helical elements and three loops (D, anti-codon, and T loops). RNAcentral also lists the same sequence under 3 other names. Lineage: Eukaryota; Fungi; Basidiomycota; Pucciniomycetes; Pucciniales; Melampsoraceae. The record is from RNAcentral.
GGGCUGUUAGCUCAGUUGGUUUAGAGCAUCACGUCGACAACGUGAGGGUCGGCGGUUCGAGCCCGUCACAGCCCA